GAACGGGUGAGUAACACGUGGGUAAUCAACCCUCGACACUGGGAUAGCCCGGGGAAACCCGGAUUAAUACCGGAUACCCCAUCUGGCCUUCGGGCCGGCUGGAAAAGGUAGCUUUGGCCUCCGGUCGAGGACGAGCCCGCGGCGGAUUAGCUUGUUGGCGGGGUAAAAGCCCACCAAGGCGACGAUCCGUAGCUGGUCUGAGAGGACGAUCAGCCACACUGGGACUGAGACACGGCCCAGACUCCUACGGGAGGCAGCAGUGGGGAAUCUUGCGCAAUGGGCGAAAGCCUGACGCAGCGACGCCGCGUGAGGGAAGAAGGCCUUCGGGUUGUAAACCUCUUUCAGGAGGGACGAAGCCACUCGGGUUAAUAGCCCAGAGGGUGACGGUACCUCCAGAAGAAGCCCCGGUAACUACGUGCCAGCCGCCGCGG
RNAcentral lists this ribosomal RNA (431 nucleotides) under uncultured bacterium. RNAcentral's name for it is "bacterial SSU rRNA". It matches the Rfam family "Bacterial small subunit ribosomal RNA", at positions 100 to 520 of the family's 1533-position model. The record is from RNAcentral.